GGCAAUAAACAUUUAUAUAUAGCUUACUAAAUAACAAUGAUUUGAAUUUUGGUGCCAAAAUGACAUCAUCCAUAUUUAUAUAUAUUUAAGGCUAGGCCUGUAGUUGUGGGAGAGGCUUGGGUACCGUUGUUGGUCUGGCGAGUUGAAGGACUACUUCCGAUCAAGUCGCCAUUUUGCUGUCUCUUACCUGAUUCCCUCAUGGUCCAGGUUCCUGUUUCUGUUCUACUUACCUGACCACUCACCAAACGCUACAAGCACGCUGCCUCCUCCAGCUUGCACGGAAACUGGUCUCGAUACGGCUCGUUUUCAACCAUAAGUCAGACCCUUACCAUAGGGCUGAUGUCGUACUCGUUCAGCAUCAUCAUGGUUUGGGUCUAUUCCUAUUCUCAUUUUGUAUAGUUUUCGUAUAAAUUCGGCACUGUUCGCAUUACCACAUGUACGAAUUAGUUUACUUCUAUGUGGUAGGGGCAUUCGGUUCUUUCAACCGCACAAACACGAGCCUUAUUCGGCUAAAGGUCUAAAGAUAUGAAACAGUGGUAUCAAAAUACUAGAAAGUUGUGUGAUAUCUACAGGAUAAAGUAGAGUCUAAAACAAUCAUAAAACACAAGAAAAAUCAUUUAUCGUGUUUGUUGAUUGGAUUGAAAAUGAACACGUCUGAUCUAAUAUAAAACAGUGUUCUGAAGAAUUAGAGUUGAGUUCAGAUCCAGGUUGUAUAUCUUGUUUUCAAGUAAAUUAGUGUGUCGUUGCUACCUGAUAUAUUUCCUACUAAUCAAUCUACUGGUUUAAUUACUAAUUACUUUGAUACUUGAUAUGUUUACC
Molecule: non-coding RNA, 819 nt
Organism: Pelobates cultripes (western spadefoot toad)
Lineage: Eukaryota; Metazoa; Chordata; Amphibia; Anura; Pelobatidae
Source: the annotation of a GenBank genome assembly